GAUUAACGCUGGCGGCGUGCAUAACACAUGCAAGUCGAACGAUGAAACUUUACUGACUUCUUCGGAAUGAUUUAAAGCGGAUUAGUGGCGAACGGGUGAGUAACGCGUGAGUAACCUGCCUUACACAAGGGGAUAGCCUCUGGAAACGGAGAAUAAUACCCUAUGAAACCAGACAAUCGCAUGAUAAUCUGGUCAAAAUGUUUAGUGGUGUAAGAUGGACUUGCGUCUGAUUAGCUAGUUGGUGAGAUAAAAGCUCACCAAGGCAACGAUCAGUAGCCGGCUUGAGAGAGUGUACGGCCACAUUGGGACUGAGACACGGCCCAGACUCCUACGGGAGGCAGCAGUGGGGAAUUUUGCACAAUGGGGGAAACCCUGAUGCAGCGACGCCGCGUGAUUUAGAAGGCCUUCGGGUUGUAAAAAUCUUUUGUAUAGGAAGAAAAUGACAGUACUAUACGAAUAAGGUCCGGCUAAGUACGUG
RNAcentral lists this ribosomal RNA (478 nucleotides) under uncultured bacterium. RNAcentral's name for it is "partial 16S ribosomal RNA". It matches the Rfam family "Bacterial small subunit ribosomal RNA", at positions 28 to 507 of the family's 1533-position model. The record is from RNAcentral.